GAGUUUGAUCAUGGCUCAGGAUGAACGCUGGCGGCGUGCUUAACACAUGCAAGUCGAACGAACCUUCGGGUUAGUGGCGGACGGGUGAGUAACGCGCGAGAAUCUGCCCUCAGGAGGGGGAUAACGGCUGGAAACGGCCGCUAAUACCCCAUAUGCCGCGAGGUGAAAUGAAUUUCGCCUGAGGAUGAGCUCGCGUCUGAUUAGCUAGUUGGUGUAGGUAAUGGCUCACCAAGGCAUCGAUCAGUAGCUGGUUUGAGAGGAUGAUCAGCCACACUGGGACUGAGACACGGCCCAGACUCCUACGGGAGGCAGCAGUGGGGAAUUUUCCGCAACGGGCGCAAGCCUGACGGAGCAACGCCGCGUGAGGGAUGAAGGCCUCUGGGCUGUAAACCUCUUUUAUCAAGGAAGAAGAUCUGACGGUACUUGAUGAAUAAGCCACGGCUAAUUCCGUGCCAGCAGCCGCGGUAAUACGGGAGUGGCAAGCGUUAUCCGGAAUUAUUGGGCGUAAAGCGUCCGCAGGCGGCCCUUCAAGUCUGCUGUUAAAACGUGGAGCUUAACUCCAUCAUGGCAGUGGAAACUGUUGGGCUUGAGUGUGGUAGGGGCAGAGGGAAUUCCCGGUGUAGCGGUGAAAUGCGUAGAUACCGGGAAGAACACCAGUGGCGAAGGCGCUCUGCUGGGCCAUCACUGACGCUCAUGGACGAAAGCCAGGGGAGCGAAAGGGAUUAGAUACCCCUGUAGUCCUGGCCGUAAACGAUGAACACUAGGUGUCGGGGGAAUCGACCCCUUCGGUGUCGUAGCCAACGCGUUAAGUGUUCCGCCUGGGGAGUACGCACGCAAGUGUGAAACUCAAAGGAAUUGACGGGGGCCCGCACAAGCGGUGGAGUAUGUGGUUUAAUUCGAUGCAACGCGAAGAACCUUACCAGGGUUUGACAUCCUGCGAAUCUCUUGGAAACGAGAGAGUGCCUUCGGGAGCGCAGUGACAGGUGGUGCAUGGCUGUCGUCAGCUCGUGUCGUGAGAUGUUGGGUUAAGUCCCGCAACGAGCGCAACCCACGUCUUUAGUUGCCAGCAUUUAGUUGGGCACUCUAGAGAGACCGCCGGUGAUAAACCGGAGGAAGGUGUGGAUGACGUCAAGUCAUCAUGCCCCUUACAUCCUGGGCUACACACGUACUACAAUGCUACGGACAAAGGGCAGCAAGUUCGCGAGGACAAGCAAAUCCCAUAAACCGUGGCUCAGUUCAGAUCGUAGGCUGCAACUCGCCUACGUGAAGUAGGAAUCGCUAGUAAUCGCAGGUCAGCAUACUGCGGUGAAUACGUUCCCGGGCCUUGUACACACCGCCCGUCACACCAUGGAAGUUGGCCACGCCCGAAGCCGUUACUCCAACCCUUGUGGAGGAGGACGUCGAAGGUGGGGCUGAUGACUGGGGUGAAGUCGUAACAAGGUAACCCCAAGCGUUCACCCUGAGCCAGGAUCAAACUC
This 1478-nucleotide ribosomal RNA is filed under the name uncultured marine cyanobacterium. Its description in RNAcentral is "bacterial SSU rRNA". It matches the Rfam family "Bacterial small subunit ribosomal RNA". Lineage: Bacteria; Bacillati; Cyanobacteriota. The record is from RNAcentral.